UCCAUUGUGGUGUAAUGGUAACACAACAGACUACGAGUCUGGAGACCUGAGUUCAAUCCUCGGCAAUGGAA
This is a non-coding RNA of Phyllosticta citribraziliensis, 71 nucleotides long. The record is from the annotation of a GenBank genome assembly. Lineage: Eukaryota; Fungi; Ascomycota; Dothideomycetes; Botryosphaeriales; Phyllostictaceae.